This 274-nucleotide ribosomal RNA is filed under the name uncultured bacterium. RNAcentral's name for it is "partial 16S ribosomal RNA". It matches the Rfam family "Bacterial small subunit ribosomal RNA", at positions 523 to 796 of the family's 1533-position model. The record is from RNAcentral.
AUACGGAGGGUCCAAGCGUUAUCCGGAAUCAUUGGGUUUAAAGGGUUCGCCGGCGGUUUAAUAAGUCAGUGGUGAAAUCUCGGGGCUCAACCUCGAAACUGCCAUUGAUACUGUUAGACUUGAAUACAGUUGGAGUAGGCGGAAUGUGUAGUGUAGCGGUGAAAUGCUUAGAUAUUACACAGAACACCGAUAGCGAAGGCAGCUUACUAAACUGUGAUUGACGCUCAUGAACGAAAGCGUGGGGAGCGAACAGGAUUAGAAACCCUAGUAGUCC